This is a long non-coding RNA of Thalassophryne amazonica, 378 nucleotides long. RefSeq lists it as uncharacterized. NCBI's taxonomy places the organism in Eukaryota, Metazoa, Chordata, Actinopteri, Batrachoidiformes, Batrachoididae. The record is from RefSeq and is a predicted model, not a curated record. The transcript is spliced from 3 exons.
UUUCAGCUUUAAGUCAAAGGGUGAAGAAAAAUAUAAUAAUAACCAUGAAGGAAUUUCAGCCAUUUUUUACACGCACGCACGCAAGCACACACGCAUCCCAGAGAUAUAAUAAAAGUAGCAUUUAGUGCUGCUCCUCCAGCCACCCCCUUUUUUAAUGGCAUGUCAACACAAAAUCAGUUCCAAGAAAACUGCAUAUGCACUAUAAAUAAUAAUAAUAAUAAUUUCUUUGUCCAUGUACUGGCCAGUACAAUACCACAUAAGCACAGUUGUAACUGAUUAUGCAUGUUGGGCAAUUUUGCCCGUUCCUCUUUGCACCACCUCUCAAGAUCCAUCAGGUUGGAUGGGGCUCAUCGGUGCACAGCAAUUUAAAUUUGCAAA